RNAcentral lists this ribosomal RNA (429 nucleotides) under uncultured bacterium. RNAcentral's name for it is "bacterial SSU rRNA". It matches the Rfam family "Bacterial small subunit ribosomal RNA", at positions 355 to 775 of the family's 1533-position model. The record is from RNAcentral.
UGAGGAAUCUUGCGCAAUGGGGGAAACCCUGACGCAGCAACGCCGCGUGAGUGAGGAAGGUCUUCGGAUCGUAAAGCUCUGUCAGUUGGAAAGAAAUGUCUGAGAGUCAAUCCCUUUCAGGCUUGACGGUACCAACAGAGGAAGCACCGGCUAACUCCGUGCCAGCAGCCGCGGUAAUACGGGGGGUACAAGCGUUGUUCGGAAUUAUUGGGCGUAAAGAGCGUGUAGGCGGCCGGAUAUGUCAGAUGUGAAAGCCCCGGGCUUAACCCGGGAAGUGCAUUUGAAACUGUCCGGCUCGAGUAGGGGAGAGGGAAGUGGAAUUCCUGGUGUAGAGGUGAAAUUCGUAGAUAUCAGGAGGGACACCGGUGGCGAAGGCGACUUCCUGGCCCUAUACUGACGCUGAGACGCGAGAGCGUGGGUAGCAAACAG